UACGUAGGUGGCAAGCGUUGUCCGGAUUUAUUGGGUUUAAAGGGUGCGUAGGCGGCUUUGUAAGUCAGUGGUGAAAUAUGGCAGCUUAACUGUCAGGGUGCCAUUGAUACUGCGGAGCUUGAGUACAGAUGAGGUAGGCGGAAUUGACGGUGUAGCGGUGAAAUGCGCAGAUAUCGGGAAGAACACCCGUGGCGAAGGCGGCUCUCUGGGACGGUACUGACGCUGAGACGCGAAAGCGUGGGGAGCGAACAGG
This 253-nucleotide ribosomal RNA is filed under the name uncultured bacterium. RNAcentral describes it as "partial 16S ribosomal RNA". It matches the Rfam family "Bacterial small subunit ribosomal RNA", at positions 524 to 776 of the family's 1533-position model. The record is from RNAcentral.